This 9352-nucleotide long non-coding RNA is filed under the name Lactuca sativa (garden lettuce). RNAcentral's name for it is "long non-coding RNA (LSAT_LNC003786)". Lineage: Eukaryota; Viridiplantae; Streptophyta; Magnoliopsida; Asterales; Asteraceae. The record is from RNAcentral.
AACAAGGCUUAACAGGGUUUACGGACCUUGCAUUGCGAAGCCGGACACUCACAUUCGUCACACACGAAACCGCUCUCAACCGUUUUCACUCUAUCUCUUCUUAUCGAGAAUCUCUCCCAAAUCUCUCUAAGUAUGUGAAAUCUCUCCCAAAUAUCUCUUUGUAUGAGAAAUCUCUCCAAGAAUGUCAAAUCUCUCCCAAAUCUCUCUAAGUAUGUGAAAUCUCUCCCAAAUAUCUCUUUGUAUGAGAAAUCUCUCCAAGAAUGUCAAAUCUCUCCCAAAUCUCUCUAAGUAUGUGAAAUCUCUCCCAAAUAUCUCUUUGUAUGAGAAAUCUCUCCAAGGAUGUCAAAUCUCUCCCAAAUCUCUCUAAGUAUGUGAAAUCUCUCCCAAAUAUCUCUUUGUAUGAUAAAUCUCUCCAAGAAUGUCAAAUCUCUCCCAAUUCUCUCUAAGUAUGUGAAAUCUCUCCCAAAUAUCUCUUUGUAUGAGAAAUCUCUCCAAGAAUGUCAAAUCUCUCCCAAAUCUCUCUAAGUAUGUGAAAUCUCUCCCAAAUCUCUCUCUGAAUGAGAAAUCUCUCCAAGAAUGUCAAAUCUCUCCCAAAUCUCUCUAAGAAUGUGAAAUCUCUCCCAAAUAUCUCUUUGUAUGUGAAAUCUCCCCAAGUAUGUCAAAUCUCUCCCAAAUCUCUCUGAGUAUGUGGAAUCUCUCUCAAAUCUCUCUCGAAAUCUCUCCCAACUCUCUAUAAUCACUCGGGGCAUCCCGACCCUCGAAUUUGGCGAGAACAGCCCAAAAACAGAAGUCUACGCGAAAAACGGGCCUAAGGAACCGAAACCCCUCUUAGGACCCGAAAGUCCUCUUAGGAACCGAAAGUCCCCUUAGGAACCGAACCCUCCUGAUGAAGAAGGCUGCUGAACCGAACCGAACCUCACUCUAAGAACCGAACCCUUCUGAGCCGAAGGCUGCUCAACCGAACCCGAACGUUCGGCACCUUUCGGUUCUGACCAUUUCCUCUUCUGAUGACUAACCGAACCCUCCCUUCUGAUGGCUUGCCGAACCUUCCCUUCUGAGGACCGAGGACCGAGCCCUCGCUUCUGACUUCGGACCGAGCUCCCCGCCCCUUCGUUUCCCUCUGUUCGUUUCCGGCUACAAUCCUCAGCAUGGACCGAGCCUCGGCCUAGGGACCGAACCUCGGCCUAGGACCGAGAGGUCUCGCUGGGAACUCAUUUUCUCCCGGUUUUCGCGUAGUUUUGCGUUUAAGGCCCGUUUUUAAUUAUUUUAACGCGGGAUUUUCACCCAAAAUCAUAUUUUAACAUAAUAAACCCUAAAUAUUCACAAUUUAAUCAUAUUUUCAUAAAAAUCUUUAUUUAAAUAAUAAAAGCAAGUGGGUAAAGUACAAAGAGGUGGAGUGUUGACUUUGCUUUACCUUAUGACACAAGCAACCACUCCCACACCCACUCUAUGACCAGCCACACCUCCCCACCUUACCUAGGUCACAUCAAUGUCCUUUUCACUCAAUCAUCACUCUUUCCCACGUUUUUGAGAGCUGAAUAUUCAUCCUCUCUCCUCACUUCUCUCAUUUGCUCUCAUUUCACAAGAAGAUCAAACUCUUUUCUCUCUCACUUUCUCUCUCUAGAAAUUCGAGAUUUCCAGGGCUGAUCUUGAGUUUUUCCUCCACAUUUGGUAAGCAUAAUCCAUUCUCUUUAUGAUUAUCUCAAUUAUUUCCACUCAAAUCAUGGAUAUCUUACACAAACUCCAUUAUAUUUGUGUUAGAUCUUCGAAUCUUCAAGUGAUUCUUCAAGUGUUCUUGGGUUGAACACUUCUCUUCUUCAACACUUAUCUACUGAAAUCACUCAAGGUGAGUUCAUACCCCUACAUUUUCAUGUUUUCUCAAGUUUUUAGGGGGGGAAUACAAGUUAAAACACCAAGAACAUAACUAAACUUUUCUAACAGCCUUCAUCAGAAAAGUUCAACUCCAUUCACGGACUGUUUUGGACAACUUAAACAUUUUAGUUUUCAAAACUGUUUUAGGUGCAUGUAGUUCCACUUCUUAGCUUUAAAAUGACUACUUGCACAUCUCCAUACGAUUUUUCUACAAUUUAUGGUGAUUUUUACAAAACUGCCUAUCAUUUCAAACAUCAAUCCGGACCAGUCUGUGAUUAUGGACUUUUUCACACAAGUAAGAAGUCAUUAAAAAUUAUAAUAAAAAUUAUGAACAAACUAGACUCAUUUUCCAAACUCUCAGAAGUUACAGAACUUGAUUUGGACAUUUUAUGAUUUUUCUACAAAUUUUCCAAUAACAGUUACAGAAAAUGUUAUUAACAGAAAAACACUAUAAAUUUCAUUUCACCUUGUAACAUGUUGAGCAAGGUAUACAUCAUUAUGUGAUUAUGUGUUGUUGCAAUAUAUGACAAUUUUGUAUUCUUAUAUAGACAUACAUCAGAAAACAAAUGGAUUUAUACCUCCACAAGUAUGGUAAAUAUAUAAAUGAUAUUACAAGGCUAUAUCCAUUAAAAUAUAAACAUUGGUAAAUUAUGACAAGUAAGGCUUAUGCUCACUACCCACACAAAUAAUUAAUAAACUAUAAUAGGUAUAGUUUAGGGUUAUUUUACAUAACAAACACAUGAUUAAAGGUUUUACACAUACAAAAGAGUUAUUACCACUAUGGAUAAUUAUGAUAAACUAUAAUAAGUAUAGUUAAGCCAUUAUACCCCCACAAACGAACACGCUAGUUAUAAUCGGUAUAGUUAUGGCAUAUAUAUAUUACAAACAAAGUGAUAAACUAUAAUAGGUAUAGUUUAUGUUUCAUCUACACUAUGAACUUAAUUACAAGAAAGGAAUUCACCAUCACCACCACUUUUGGUAAACUAUAAUAUGCAUAGUUCAUGUUCACUAGUCACUAUCACUAUUUGAUGAACUAUGAUAUGUAUAGGUUAUAUUCACCAUCACCACCACUUUUGGUAAACUAUAAUAUGCAUAGUUCAUGUUCACUAGUCACUAUCACUAUCCGAUGAACUAUGAUAUGUAUAGUUUAUGUUCACAGUCACUAUUACUAUUUCAUACACUACACUAGGGUUUGGUUCCGGUUUUUGGAUUUAAGUCCACAUUAAAUUUUCGCAUUGUUAGACUUCAACUAUAAUCGUUGAGCGUAUAUGCUUGAGUCAUACAAGAAUUUAGUCUGGAUUGGCUUAGAAUUGGUGGUGCCCGCCUCAUCUCCUGUUCCUCGUUGGGUUGUGGACCUAGGGCAGACCCACUAUAUUCAACGUUUUAUCUAACUUAAAUCUUAUAUAACUUAUAUACGCUGGACGAUUAUAGGGGAAAUCUACGGGUCAAUCUAGGGUUCAUUAACACAUCAUAUAGGAAUAUUCUGUUUACACUUAACUAAGAAAAUAUUGGAUUUUCUGGAAAUCAAACUCUAUCGAUUUUACAAGGAAAACGGUUUCUACUUCAAACAAAACUCUUAUGAACUCACCAACUUAAUUGUUGACACUUUUUCAAAACUACUUGUAUUCUCAGGAAAUCAGUGAAACAGGAAAACUUCAGCGCUUUGAGGAUGGGACGUUAAACCGUCAACAAUUUAUUUUUGUCAUCAUAAUGUAAUUGAUUUUGAAACAUGUAAACAUAUACUUUGGUGUAACUUUUUCAAUUAUAUUUAUGAUGGUUGUAUUUACUUUGAGCACUAUUAUACACGUUGUUGUGAUACUGUACAUGAAGUCCUCCACCCCCGGACGUUUCCGCCAUCCUUGGUUUGGGGGUGUGACAGAUUGGUAUCAGAGCAUUGUUUAUAGUGAACUCAGUAUAUCGAACCACAUAAGAUAUACAAACUAUAAAUACAUUGGGACUGAAAGUCUCUGAUUUAAAGUUUUCAAAGCAACUAUACUUUUAGAAACAAAUAAUUUCUCGGUAAAAGUAGGAGCAUGUGCACACACACUAGGGUCAGUAUCAUGGUGGGAUGGGACAAAAGUGGUGAUUGUUGAACAAUACGAGUAGGCUUGGGGAUGUAUAGUCAGGUCUGGGAAUGACAUAGCCUGAUCAACUAUGUCUCACCCAGAAGUGAUUAGCAUAUGCCCAGGAAUGGUCGUAGGUGUUGCAACAAGUCUAAAAACUUACCAACACUACCACAAUGAAAUACCAUAGGGGUAUUUGGUGUUAUUAUAAUUACUUAUUUGAGAACUAAAUAGAUUUUUAUCAAUAGGUCAAUAAUUGCCUAGUGGAUACAUUAAAAUUAUAUGUAUCCAGGACGUCAUAGACUUAGAAUCUGUGGAUCUUUGCUUUACUUCCUGUUCUCGUUGGAUUGGGGAUUUAGAGUUAGGAUCGCUUAUUCGAAGGUCUAUCCUGUCCCAAAUACAUAUGACUAGUAUGCACUAAACAAUAUAUUGAAGUACCUGAUAAAGAUCAUCUUAUAAUUAUCUAAUUAGUACGUCUACUUAGUUAUUUCUUAUAUCCCCAUUUCUCGCGAAGAUAUCAUGGCUGAAUUCCAUCCCCACGACGACCCGUACUACCCUAACCACGGCAAUACUGAAUGGCUCGGAGAGGAGCCAGAGAAUGAUUACCGAAUCCCUUUGGAUGGUCACCAAGCUGAAGGCUUUGCUGAUGGUUCUGACUCCGACCCUGAAGUGGAGAACCUACCCUGAUGGCUCUUGUUCCGAAUCCUAUCCCUCGUCCGGUUUUUCAAGGCCCGACGCCUCCUUGGGUAGAAUGCUUGGAAACCUGGAGCGAAGAGCAAGCCCAACCUAUGCCGUUUAGUGGAGACCGAAGCUUCUACGACAUAAGCAAAGGAAGCUCAACAGAUUGAAGUCUUCCAAUCCAGGUCAGUAGAUUUGCCCGAAACAAGAUUUAGGGCAGAACAACUCUCCAUCAUAUCGCAAAGGCUGAUGCAAAUUCAAGAAUGCAUACAAUCCGAACCAAUCGCCUUGAGCACACUUGUGAAAAAUCUAAGAGAGACCAUGAAACCCGGCUGCAAGCACUGGCUGAAACACGAACCGAAGUCAUAGAACUCCGAGUACGCUAGAGGGUGUAUGAAAGGCACAUGCUUGAUAUGGAGCGGAAACUAGCUGAACUGAAGGUUCACCAUAAGGAUGACCGCCGCCAGUAGUAGAUGCCUUACUUUCUUUCCCUGUUUAAAAAAAAAUCGUUUUUCCUAUCUAUGUCCUAUGCGGCAUUCUCUAUGAAACUAUCUUGUACUGUAAGUACUUUUAGUUAGGCCUUUAGGCGGCCAAAACUCUCCUGCUCCGGAUGUGAUGUAAGACCCUCUACAAAGUCAAUUUUCCCAAGCCUGUUACAUCUUAAACAUCAAUGACGUUGCCAAUCAGAUAAAUUCUAUGACACUCUUUGUUCAAAUACUUCCAUAGGAGUCUAUCUGAAACCCACUUUAGUCAAGUUGUUGGACUAGAGUAAUUUAGCUCCGGGAUCGUUCCCAAUUCUCUUUCCAAGGUUGGAUCAUGUUAUUCACCAACCAAUAGAACCCGGUUUUGAACGACAAACGUCAUGAGACCAUUCUACGAACUUACUUCUACUCCGUAAUAGGACUGCAUCAUAGGGAUGUAGGUCAAACCUUCGAGAACAUACUUCUACUCUAUAGGUGAACGGUCGAAAUACAUCUAGGUUCAAUGAUAGCCCUGACUAGGAACUCUAGUUCAUUAAGAAGGAUUACUAAGAAUGUUAUUUGUUAUGAUUUCCUCACUUAUACAUUCCCCAGUUAUAUAUAACGAAGACCUGGUAGACAAUAGAAUGUGAGAUUUCUAACUUAGUUUCUUUUCCUCGUUGGGAUGUGAAACUGAAGUAGAAUCACACAUUUUACUAUCCGCCCAGUCUUGGUUAUAUCAUAAUGUGUAUAAGCUAAGUUUUCGUGUAUGAUAACUUAUCUCUUAGUCAGAAUCAAAAUAAUACAGAGCCAACCUUAGUCACUCACAAACUCCUUGUCUUUCGUGUUGCAGAAUCAUGUCAUCAUCCGGAAAUAGUCAACUGAACAAUGAAUCCCCUAUCCUUCAUAUCGACGCCGCUACAUUUCAAGCCGCGGUAACAGCUGUUGUGGCAGCUGUCCUUACAAACCUCAACACUGGCAAUGCAAUCACGACUGACAAAGGAAUUGAAAAUUUCGAUUGUUGUAUCAAUCCAGGAAGCCAACAAAGGGCAACAGUCAUGGACGUACAAAGUCGUAAAACCGAGAAGAGGAAACGAAAUCGUCGAGCUCGAAAGGAGCGUCAACGAUCCCAAAGACUUGCCAUGCAACAGCAACAAGUGGCAACUCCUGCCCCUUCAGCACCGGCACAACCAAUUUCUUAAGUACCCGACAUCGGGACAAACUCUGCACAUAAAGGUGGUGGUAAAACCGGCCCCCAUAAAAGGAAAGUUUUGAAGUGGAUGAACGAGGAGGGCACCCGUGUCCACGUAACUCUGACUAAACACCUCACUUCCACCACCAAUGCUAGUGCAAGCCUGAUAUGUCACCAAUGCGGCGAGAUUGGACACCUCAGAAAGGACUGUCCAAUCAUAAAGAACUCCGGCGCAGAUGGGAGGAUACUAAGGAUCACUGCCGCAAGAGAAACUACUCCGGACCUCGUUAAGAAUAUCUAAAGCAUUUGUUGUAUCAGACUCAUAAACUGCUUAAAACUAGUGCAACUAGAGUCUUAUCUUUUGUGAGACCCCGUCAGUGAAGGGACCCUCGUGUUGCGUAUACUUGUCUUUUGUAGUAUACUUAGUUUGCAACAAUAGUCUUGUAGUAAAUCUAUAGUACUAUAACUCUGUUAAAAGUUGCACAGUGGUGUCUUGUCUGUAACGCCUUUAUGAUUAAAUCUAGUGCCUUUAUUACCAAGUGACUUCGAUUAUUUUUUUUAUCAUACGACUAGAAUGCCAACCAAGGACAUGGAUUUANAACUCUAGUUCAUUAAGAAGGAUUACUAAGAAUGUUAUUUGUUAUGAUUUCCUCACUUAUACAUUCCCCAGUUAUAUAUAACGAAGACCUGGUAGACAAUAGAAUGUGAGAUUUCUAACUUAGUUUCUUUUCCUCGUUGGGAUGUGAAACUGAAGUAGAAUCACACAUUUUACUAUCCGCCCAGUCUUGGUUAUAUCAUAAUGUGUAUAAGCUAAGUUUUCGUGUAUNUUCAAAGUCAACUGAAGUCAACAAGUCAAACCGGUCAACUCAACUAACCCUUGUGUACUAGCGCUUACGUUAUGUAAUUACUAAACAGCUCACUAUUCUAAUAAGGGAUCAUAAAUCGAAAAGUACGUACAUCUAGAUCUCCUUAACCUAAAACUGUGGUGAGUGACGAGCCAAACCGAUAAUACAAUGUUGCAUACUCAUCGGGAGUGUGUAAGAUCCUUAAGCAAGNCAUAUCGACACCGCUACAUUUCUAGCCGCAGUAACAGCUGCUGUGGCAGCUGUCCUUAUAAACCUCAACACUGGCAACGUAAUCACGACUGACAAAGGAAUUGAAAAUUUCGAUGGUUGUAUCAAUCCAGGAAGCCAACAAAGGGCAACAGUCAUGGACGUACAAAGUCGUAAAACCGAGAAGAGGAAACGAAAUCGUCGAGCUCGAAAGGAGCGUCAAUGAUCCUAAAGACUUGCCAUGAAACAACAACAAGUGGCAACUCCUGCCCCUUCAGCACCGGCACAACCAAUUUCUCAAGUACCCGGCAUCGGGACAAACUCUGCACACAAAGGUGGUGGUAAAACCGGCCCCCAUAAAAGGAAAGUUUCGAAGUGGAUGAACGAGGAGGGCACCCGUGUCCACGUAACUCUGACUAAACCCCUCACUUCCCCCACCAAUGCUAGUGCAAGCCAGAUAUGUCACCAAUGCGGCGAGAUUGGACACCUCAGAAAGGACUGUCCAAUCAUAAAGAACUCCGGCGCAGAUGGAAGGAUACUAAGGAUCACUGCCGCAGGAGAAACUACUUCGGACCUCGUUAAGAAUAUCUAAAGCCUUCGUUGUAUCAGACUCAUAAACUGCUUAAAACCAGUGCAACUAGAGUCUUAUCUUUUGCGAGACCCCGUCAGUGAAGGGACCCUUGUGCUGCGUAUACUUGUCUUUUGUAGUAUACCUAGUUCUCAACAAUAGUCUUGUAGUAAAUCUAUAGUACUAUAACUCUGUUUAAAGUUGCACAGUGGUGUCUUGUCUGUAACGCCUUUAUGAUCAAAUCUAGUGCCUUUAUUACCAAGUGACUUCGAUUUUUUUUUAUCAUACGACUAGAAUGUUAACCAAGGACCUGGAUUUACUUGAGAGCGUGAGACUCAAUCGAUUAGGAAGAAUCCCCACUUUUUGGCUCGAUUAUUCAUGCGUACUCAUUGUCUAAAUUCAAAUUUCGGGACGAAAUUCCCUCUGACGGGGGAUGAUGUGACAACCGUCAAUUUCCGGUCAAUUCAAAGUCAACUGAAGUCAACAAGUCAAACCGGUCAACUCAACUAACCCUUGUGUACUAGCGCUUACGUUAUGUAAUUACUAAACAGCUCACUAUUCUAAUAAGGGAUCAUAAAUCGAAAAGUACGUACAUCUAGAUCUCCUUAACCUAAAAUAGUGGUAAGUGACGAGCCAAACCGAUAAAACAAUGUUACAUACUCAUCGGGAGUGUGUAAGAUCUUUAAACAAGGCUUAACAGGGUUUACGGACCUUGCAUUGCAAAGCCGGACACUCACAUUCGUCACACACGAAACCGCUCUCAACCGUUUUCACUCUAUCUCUUCUUAUCGAGAAUCUCUCCUAAAUCUCUCUAAGUAUGUGAAAUCUCUCCCAAAUAUCUCUUUGUAUGAGAAAUCUCUCCAAGAAUGUCAAAUCUCUCCCAAAUCUCUCUAAGUAUGUGAAAUCUCUCCCAAAUAUCUCUUUGUAUGAGAAAUCUCUCCAAGAAUGUCAAAUCUCUCCUAAAUCUCUCUAAGUAUGUGAAAUCUCUCCCAAAUAUCUCUUUGUAUGAGAAAUCUCUCCAAGAAUGUCAAAUCUCUCCCAAAUCUCUCUAAGUAUGUGAAAUCUCUCCCAAAUAUCUCUUUGUAUGAGAAAUCUCUCCAAGGAUGUCAAAUCUCUCCCAAAUCUCUCUAAGUAUGUGAAAUCUCUCCCAAAUAUCUCUUUGUAUGAGAAAUCUCUCCAAGAAUGUCAAAUCUCUCCCAAAUCUCUCUAAGUAUGUGAAAUCUCUCCCAAAUAUCUCUUUGUAUGAGAAAUCUCUCCAAGAAUGUCAAAUCUCUCCCAAAUCUCUCUAAGUAUGUGAAAUCUCUCCCACAUAUCUCUUUGUAUGAGAAAUCUCUCCAAGAAUGUCAAAUCUCUCCCAAAUCUCUCUAAGAAUGUGAAAUCUCUCCCAAAUAUCUCUUUGUAUGAGAAAUCUCUCCAAGAAUGUCAAAUCUCUCCCAAAUCUCUCUAAGUAUGUGAAAUCUCUCCCAAAU